Molecule: microRNA, 21 nt
Filed under: Mus musculus (house mouse)
Lineage: Eukaryota; Metazoa; Chordata; Mammalia; Rodentia; Muridae
Description: Mmu-Mir-150_3p* (star (passenger))
Source: RNAcentral
CUGGUACAGGCCUGGGGGAUA